UGGGGAAUAUUGCACAAUGGGCGCAAGCCUGAUGCAGCCAUGCCGCGUGUAUGAAGAAGGCCUUCGGGUUGUAAAGUACUUUCAGUCGGGAGGAAGGUGGUAAGGUUAAUAACCUUAUCAAUUGACGUUACCGACAGAAGAAGCACCGGCUAACUCCGUGCCAGCAGCCGCGGUAAUACGGAGGGUGCAAGCGUUAAUCGGAAUUACUGGGCGUAAAGCGCACGCAGGCGGUUUGUUAAGUCAGAUGUGAAAUCCCCGGGCUCAACCUGGGAAAUGCAUCUGAUACUGGCAAGCUUGAGUCUCGUAGAGGGGGGUAGAAUUCCAGGUGUAGCGGUGAAAUGCGUAGAGAUCUGGAGGAAUACCGGUGGCGAAGGCGGCCCCCUGGACAAAGACUGACGCUCAGGUGCGAAAGCGUGGGGAGCAAACAGG
This 429-nucleotide ribosomal RNA is filed under the name Chloroflexota bacterium. RNAcentral describes it as "Chloroflexi bacterium partial 16S ribosomal RNA". It matches the Rfam family "Bacterial small subunit ribosomal RNA", at positions 355 to 776 of the family's 1533-position model. Lineage: Bacteria; Bacillati; Chloroflexota. The record is from RNAcentral.